Long non-coding RNA from Limanda limanda (common dab), 527 nucleotides. RefSeq lists it as uncharacterized. Lineage: Eukaryota; Metazoa; Chordata; Actinopteri; Pleuronectiformes; Pleuronectidae. The transcript is spliced from 2 exons. The record is from RefSeq and is a predicted model, not a curated record.
GCACAAACACACUGGACUCUAACAAUCAUUUACAAACUGAAUUGGAACAGUAAACCUGAAACUCCAGUUGAACGGGCACAUUGUUGUUUCUGUUUGCCUGCAUGUGGAACUCUGUGUGUCGGUCAAUGAUCUGAAGAGUUGAUUACCUUUAUCAGGACAUUCUCAAAGCUGGUGGGGUUGGUCACGUCGAAGCAGACCAGGAUCAGGUCGGCCUCUUGGACACAAUGGCCUGAGCUUCAAGAUGCAACAUGUGUUACAAAGUCUGAGACGAGGAAUAAAACCACAUCCUGGCCUCAGCUUCCUUUUCCGCUGAUGUAAAGCACCCUGCUUCUCUUAUACUAAAGAUAAGGUGUCAAGACGUACUGUCAUGGGUUUUCCUGAACAUGAAAUGACUUUAAAACACGUAUCUUCUAUGGAAAAUUCAUGUUUUAUGUCCCACAGAGACACGUCAUGUUGUGAAAUGAGUGGAAAUUUUGUCUUUACCUAGUUUUUUUAACCACUAAUAAAACAAAAGACUGUUUUCUCAA